AUUUUUAAAGGUAGACGGUUUAGCAGCACCAUGGAAACCGAAUGAAUUGCACAGCUCCUGGACGCCAUAUCAAAGUAUUUGGUAAAGCUAUACUAUGUCUCGCGAAGGUUGGAGAGGAGAUAUACUUUGAGGGUGAAGCUAGUGGGCUCGCUGUACGUACGGUUAAUCUAUCCCGCUCUGCCUAUGGAUCCUUUCUUUUUCAAACUUCCUUUUUCACAAAAUUCUC
This is a long non-coding RNA of Bolinopsis microptera, 226 nucleotides long. RefSeq lists it as uncharacterized. NCBI's taxonomy places the organism in Eukaryota, Metazoa, Ctenophora, Tentaculata, Lobata, Bolinopsidae. The transcript is spliced from 3 exons. The record is from RefSeq and is a predicted model, not a curated record.